AGCGAACGCUGGCGGUAGGCCUAACACAUGCAAGUCGAACGGCCGCAUCGUGAGUGGUGGCGGUCAGGGGUGGAGCGUGUCGGAACGUGGCGGUAGACUCGGGAUAAUACAUGUAAGUGGGUGCUAAUACCGGGUGACUUCCGCUAGUACCGCAUUCGUCGUCUGUGGGAAAGCAGGGGAUCUUCGGACCUUGUGGGAUUGGAUGUGCCGAGGUCAGGUUAGCGAGUUGGCGGGGUAAAGGCGCAUCAAGGCGAAGAUACGAAGCUGGUCUGGGCGGAAGUUCAGACACACUGGAACUGAGACACGGUCCAGACUCCGACGGGAGGCAGCAGUGGGGAAGAGUGGACAAAGGGCGCAAGCCUGAUCCAGCCAUACCGCGUGGGUGAAGAAGGCCUUCGGGUUGUAAAGCCCUUUUGUUGGGAAAGAAAAGCAGCAGGUUAAUACCCCGCUGUUCUGACGGUACCCAAAGAAUAAGCACCGGCUAACUUCGUG
RNAcentral lists this ribosomal RNA (492 nucleotides) under uncultured bacterium. RNAcentral describes it as "partial 16S ribosomal RNA". It matches the Rfam family "Bacterial small subunit ribosomal RNA", at positions 30 to 507 of the family's 1533-position model. The record is from RNAcentral.